Capsicum annuum is the source of this 301-nucleotide long non-coding RNA. RefSeq lists it as uncharacterized. The record is from RefSeq and is a predicted model, not a curated record. NCBI's taxonomy places the organism in Eukaryota, Viridiplantae, Streptophyta, Magnoliopsida, Solanales, Solanaceae. The transcript has 2 exons.
GUCAGAAAUCCCUCCCCCCACGCUCUUGAUGAAAAAAUCAAGAAUAAGGGGACGCAGAGAGUGGGGAAAAUUGGAUUUUAGCAGCUCCUCUUCUCUCUAAAAUGGCCAAGCAAAAGAGAGACAGAAAGAAUCUCAUUGCUUUGACGGGAGCCGCUGCUCUUGUAGCUAUUGCAGUCAACUUUGCUAUCUCCGCUAUCAACAAAAAACAUCAAAAGAAAAGAGAUGUUCCAGGUUCAAAAGUUCGAGUGAACCUAUCUGCUUCUGAAAUUUUUAAAUUGGCGGAAAGCAUAAUUAAUAAAUC